UCUGGAUGGAGAUGUGUAUGGGAACUGUUGAGUCACGGCCAGAAUCACUGAUUGAUCACCUGGAGAAAGGACCAGGUCAGCCCUGGGAGCACAGGUGAAGGCAAUUCAGCUGUGUGACCAGAAGGGGUGGAGCCUGGCUGCACCUCUCUUAGACCCCGUGUAAGGGCUGAGUGCCACUUGGAAUGGAUCUGUUUCUGGAGAUCUCUCUCUGGUGGAGCUUUCCCCUGUGAACCUGGAAUCUUCUGAUAUGGUGAGGGUGGUGAGGCGUUGGAACAGGUUGCCCAGUGAUGUGGUUGAUGCCCCAUCCCCAGAGACUUUCAAGGUAGGACUUUUGGUCCCUUUAUUGCAUAUUCAGUGUUAAAGAAUGAUAACCUUCAGAAUGGCACCUCUUACGACUAUGCUACGGUUAAGUUUUUCGAAUCAACUGAAAGCAAGGAGCCUCUUGGGAGUCCAACAUCUUAGGUCUCUACAACACAAACACACCUGUCUUUGUAACUAUUAAGCCACACACUCAAAAGAUUUAUUUGGAUUUAAUUGCCACCAUCUGCUGACUCACUCUAUGGGGGGAAGGAGGGAACCAAAACUUGCUAUUGUCAGUCCAGUUAGUUUGCUAUGAGAGGGUCUCACAAUUUUUGUUCAGUCUUGAGUCUUUGCUUCAACAAAGAUGACAUUUACCCAGACCUCUGCAUGGUCUGUUUGAAAAAUGACACAGUUGUAAUUCCAAGAGCUCAAAACAUAUCUGAAAAUCUCUCUAUUUUUGUCUUUUUCCUCUCCCAUUCUAUCUGGAUUUGAGAAUCCACUUGGAUAGUGGCUGACGUAAUUCUCACCUGAUGCUUAAAUAACUGCACUAUAAAUUGAAGCGUUUCCAUCUGUUCUUGUGAAUACAACCUAAACUAUCCAUCAUGUGCCAUUUCUUGGAGCUGGGUAGGUUGGCACUAAAAUACUAGAGUGAAAACUACUGCAUUUCAGCAAAUGCUUCAAAAUUUCUGAAAAGGUUCUUGUGUAUGAUCACGGGAGGAAAACUUGAGACCUAUUUAGCUUCAUAUAUGCUGAUCUUUAGACAUCUUGCAGUAAAUUUAACCGAAAGUGGAUUCUUUUAAUGUUUACUAAUUUAAACUCAUUUUCAUUCUUAAACUAUCACAAUUUGAAAAACACCAAAAAUAUUGAGCUGUUAGACGCAUACUCAAAUUAGGAUCUGAAAUAGAAAUUUUC
Molecule: long non-coding RNA, 1212 nt
Organism: Gallus gallus (chicken)
Lineage: Eukaryota; Metazoa; Chordata; Aves; Galliformes; Phasianidae
Source: Ensembl